CAUUAUCUUGCGCAGGGUUUGAAGGGUUUGGGUGAAUGUGUACACCACUCGGGUGUAAUGGCAGACUUUGUCUGAAGCUCUCUGAUGAACGCAAAGCAGCUUUAGAAACCAUAUUACAUCCCAAACCGCAGAAAUAAGGGAAAUAAUAUAAAAGCAGAAAAUGAUAAUGGUAUUAAAAACAUGUCAGAAGAGGCUUUGGCUUAAUAGGCUUAUGUACACACCUCUGCCAUGUCUGCAACUUUCAAAGGAAUUUACAUAUAUGGAUAUAUGCAGAUAAAAUGACGAAGAGUAUCAGAAACCCUGAUGCAGAUCUCACAAACAAAGACACUGGCUACAUUCAGUAACAUGAAAUCUGUCUGUCUUCAUAUUUAACUGCACACGUCUCUCUCCAGGAAAGAGAUUCUUCACUGUUAUUUAUCAUGGAUUGCCUGAGCAGUUUUUGUCUCUUUCGAAGGUUUUUGCUGUUGUUUUUAGUCAGGGCACUUCACACGGAUAAAUGGCAAAACAACACAAUAAACACAAAGUACAAAUCAGCUGAAGCAGUGCUCUGAUUGGACGGAACCUGGAGGGGGGUUCACGUCUUUGUCUUACUGUGACCUUGAUUGGCAGAAAGCUUCAAUAGUGAGGUAAAAGAUUACUCUAGAAACCAUGGCAACAGGAGGUGGUGUAAAUGAUGAAGUGCAGCACAGAAGGACAGAUGAUGGUAAAGCUGACCAGCACGUGUCAUCAUCACCGAACAUGAAUACACUUGUUGUUCAGGGUCAGUAAAAAUAACACACAGAUGACUUUGGUUUGUACUUUUGAAGCACCACAGGCUGCCUGAUCACAAGACUUUAUGACAAAAAAUGUCUGAACUGGAACAAAUGAAGCCCAUGACGAGAGUAAAGCAACAGUCAAUUCACUAUGUGGCCCCUUUUGUCUCAGUGUUGACCUGUUAAAGAGACGCGACGAGCAGAUUUCAUUUGGAUUUUAAUUCAUCAAAAACUGACAACGGACAUAUUUCCAUGAACUUUUCUUCUGUUUAUGUCCAGGUUUCUCAGGCGUGCUUGACUGAGGCUACAGGAUUUGACACCUCAAACACAAUUCUCAUUUUAAUUCUCACUUUGUCACGGUUAUGCUCUGUUUUAGGGUUAGUUUUCUGUGUUCUGUUCUCCUGCCUGGGUUGUUAAUUGCCCCUAACCUGUUUCAGUUUCCCCGUGAUUACGUUUCUCCAUGUAUUUAAGCCCCGUGUGUUCCUCGGCUGCUAUUGUUUGAUGUUUUGUGCGAUUUAUGUUCCUGUGUUUGCUCCUGGAUUUAUUAUUAGAGUACUCUUUUGGAUAUUAUACCCCAUCGUCGUGCGCUUGUAUUUAGACUACACGUGACACAUUUAUUUUCUAGAACUCUUUUCACAAUUUUGCAUUGUUACACAUUACAGUAAAUGGAGCCAAAAUACAGUAAGUAGAGUCAUAAUGAAAAAAGGUAAUAUUUAAUUGAAUACGUCUUAAUUUAGUUUUAAUACAUCAGUGAUACUAACUGUAUGAAUAUCUGUCUGUAGGAUUGUAUUCUCACUGUUAUGUUGUGUUUCCAUGUUUUAUGGGGUUGUUCUAUGGAUAUAAAGAUUUUUAUACUGUACAAAGUAAACGAACCAUCACACAAACCUUUCUGCAUUUGUACAUUUAAAGAAAUUGUCCCCACAAGGUCAUAUCAGUAAUAUCAUAAUAAUAACAUCAGUCAUUUUUUUCUCUGCAAGGCCAAAAAUGACUGAUAUUACAGAAUUAUCUUUGUGUGGACAGACAGACGAAAACACACAUAUGAUCAUCUUUCCCUUUCUUUAGUAGAUAUUUAACAACAUACAGAACUGCUCAUGAUGAAUUGAAUUUAUUGGUAAAUGAGAAAUGUCAGCAGCUUUAAAUAUAUUUGAAAUCCACAAUUGUGUCCUUUCUAAACUAGAAUUUAUAAUUUCAUGUUUAUGUUUUUAGGUUUAUAUAUUCCUUGGGGUUUAUAAGGAGAGAGAGACAUAAAUACAGCCUCAGAUAUUCUGACAUGACCCGUUAAAUUGAUUUCUGUUUAUCGUUAGGAUGACCUGCAGGACGGAUCAGCGGUCGACACCUUGUGGAAUUGCUGUGGUUUUCUCUUUCUGUUUUGUAUGUUAAACAAGUGGAGGCUGAGUGUAGUUUCAAGCUGAACUUUUGCCAGAAAUGCUGCUGUUGCCAUGGCAACUAAUGGAGUGUUUUACUAACUCAUCCACCAGUGUGUGUGUGUGUGUGUGUGUGUGUGUGUGUAUACAGGUAUAUCUAUUGUACCCACAAUGAUGGUAAAAGUCUGAACCACCUAUAGUUCAUUGUGUGCAUGUGUCAGCCAGUCGUCCUCACCAUGUAAACUGAUUAUUAAUCCAAGUAAAUGAUGUUUAUUUGAAAAUGAGAGGUUUGUGUGAUAUUUCUAUGGAAAAGACCCCAUAAAACAUGUUAACACAACAUGUGGAUGUGUUUCUGUGAAUAAUUAGCAGUGUAAUAUUAGCGUGGGUGGUUAAUUGAGUGUUGGAAGGUUCACGUGGCUUUCAGUUUUCACUGUGACACAUAAUUUGUUUGUUUGGAGUAAAUGUAUUUUGCUCAGAAAAGAAAUGCCUCAAUUUUUAAUGAUCUGGAGUGCAUAACUUGACCAAUUGACUCUUUGUUUGUGAUAACAUUUUGUUUAUUUUAUAUUGACUCUAAUGGGCUGUGAGAAUCUGAGAGGUUUUUAGAGUUUCAGGAGCUUCUGAUGUUUAAAAAAACUUCAGACUUCAGCCGAUUAGAAACAUUUAAUAUAUGAAGGAUAAAUGAAUGUGAGAACUGCUAUGAUUGACUAAAGUUUUCAUAAUCAAAAAAAUCCUCACGGUUUGUGUAAAAGUGUACAAUUAUUAUUCAGAUGAUUAAAAAUGGUCCU
Triplophysa rosa is the source of this 2901-nucleotide long non-coding RNA. RefSeq lists it as uncharacterized. The record is from RefSeq and is a predicted model, not a curated record. Lineage: Eukaryota; Metazoa; Chordata; Actinopteri; Cypriniformes; Nemacheilidae. The transcript has 3 exons.